RNAcentral lists this ribosomal RNA (446 nucleotides) under uncultured bacterium. Its description in RNAcentral is "partial 16S ribosomal RNA". It matches the Rfam family "Bacterial small subunit ribosomal RNA", at positions 354 to 796 of the family's 1533-position model. The record is from RNAcentral.
GUAGGGAAUAUUGGACAAUGGGGGGAACCCUGAUCCAGCCAUGCCGCGUGGAGGAAGACUGCCCUCUGGGUUGUAAACUCCUUUUAUAUGGGAAGAACCGUCCUCAUUAAUGAGUGACCUGACGGUACCAUAGGAAUAAGCACCGGCUAACUCCGUGCCAGCAGCCGCGGUAAUACGGAGGGUGCAAGCGUUAUCCGGAUUCACUGGGUUUAAAGGGUGCGUAGGCGGAUAAAUAAGUCAGUGGUGAAAUCAACGGGCUCAACCUGUUAACUGCCAUUGAUACUGUGUAUCUUGAAUAUGAGAGAGGUAGGCGGAAUGUUGCAUGUAGCGGUGAAAUGCUUAGAUAUGCUACGGAACACCGAUUGCGAAGGCAGCUUACUAUUUCGUAAUUGACGCUGAGGCACGAAAGCGUGGGUAGCGAACAGGAUUAGAAAACCGGGUAGUCC